Molecule: non-coding RNA, 437 nt
Organism: Cinara cedri
Lineage: Eukaryota; Metazoa; Arthropoda; Insecta; Hemiptera; Aphididae
Source: the annotation of a GenBank genome assembly
CUGGCCACGUGACUUGCAGUCGUGGUUGCGAUGUGUUGAAACAGUAAAAAACUGUAUAAAACGUCUUAAACGACAUCCGUGUUUGAAACGGUAGAACAGCAGUUGUACAAAAAUGAUAAGAAUUGUUUUCGGAAACGCGGAACGGUCGCAUAUUAACAUAUGACAGGAAAUAAAAUCCCGGUCCAUUCGAGUUGCCUCCAAAAAUGUACGAAUCGCCUCCUAUCCUUAUCGUAAAUAAAAAGGUUAAUAUACACUAUGGUUGCCUCCGACGAUUAGGUAGUUCAUAAUUGUAUACGAAUUGCCUCUCAAAAAUGUUCGCACUAGUAACCUCCCAUAUUGAAUAAAGCAGUGGUUCUUAAACUAAACUGAAUUUAAUAUAAUAUUUAUAAUUUUAUUAAAAAUAACAAUGUAAUUGGUCAAUAAAAAAACAUGUACAU